Martensiomyces pterosporus is the source of this 80-nucleotide non-coding RNA. The record is from the annotation of a GenBank genome assembly. Lineage: Eukaryota; Fungi; Kickxellomycota; Kickxellomycetes; Kickxellales; Kickxellaceae.
GGUCAGAUGGCCGAGUGGUCUAAGGCGGUGGUUUUAGGCACCAUUCCGAAAGGGCGUGGGUUCGAAUCCCACUCUGAUCA